GGUGGAACGCGUGGACGGCGUGCCUAAUACAUGCAAGUCGAACGAAGCACAUUAGCGCUUAGUGGCGAACGGGUGAGUAAAAGAUAAGUAACCUGCCCUUGACAGGGGGAUAACGAUCGGAAACGAACGCUAAGACCGCAUAGGUAAUAAAACUGCAUGGUUUUAUUAUUAAGUAUCCUACGGGAUAGGUGAAGGAUGGACUUAUCACGCAUUAGCUAGUUGGAGAGGUAACGGCUCCCCAAGGCGACGAUGCGUAGCCGGCCUGAGAGGGCGGACGGCCACACUGGGACUGAGACACGGCCCAG
This 305-nucleotide ribosomal RNA is filed under the name uncultured bacterium. RNAcentral's name for it is "bacterial SSU rRNA". It matches the Rfam family "Bacterial small subunit ribosomal RNA", at positions 34 to 334 of the family's 1533-position model. The record is from RNAcentral.